GUGCCAGCAGCAGCGGUAAGACGUAGGGGGAGAGCGUUAAUCGGAAUCACUGGGCGUAAAGGGUGCGCGGGUGGCUUGCCAAGACCCCUGUAAAAUCCUACGGCCCAACCGUAGUUCUGCGGAGGUGACUGGCAAGCUUGAGUAUGGCAGAGGGGGGUAGAAUUCCAGGUGUAGCGGUGAAAUGCGUAGAGAUCUGGAGGAAUACCGAAGGCGAAGGCAACCCCCUGGGCCAUCACUGACACUGAGGCACGAAAGCGUGGGGAGCAAACAGGAUUAGAAACCCCGGUAGUCC
This 292-nucleotide ribosomal RNA is filed under the name Candidatus Tremblayella endosymbiont of Rhizoecus sp. RNAcentral's name for it is "Candidatus Tremblaya endosymbiont of Rhizoecus sp. partial 16S ribosomal RNA". It matches the Rfam family "Bacterial small subunit ribosomal RNA", at positions 505 to 796 of the family's 1533-position model. The record is from RNAcentral. Lineage: Bacteria; Pseudomonadati; Pseudomonadota; Betaproteobacteria.